ACCUUCUUCAUGAGCUUCCUCCAAUUAUGACUCCGGCGUACACUGCCACUGUUAAUUUGUGUACAGUCUUCCUGAUCGGAGAGUGAAGAAGUCGACGUACAGUCAGAAACGUUAGAUAAUCGUCCUUCAAUGGAAGCGCUGCAGGUAAGGUUAAUUGUGGUGGCCAUCUUUUUUGGAGAGAGAAGAGUUCUUGUUUGUUGUGAAUUGUGAAUUGUGAAUUGAUGAAUGGAAGGUUAAUUAGUGGAAGAGGAGACUUUAUAGUUGGUGUAGAGGGGGUUUUUGGUAAUUCUGAAAGUGUGUAAUGUAGCUUUAAAUCUUAGGUGUAAAGAGGUCCGUUAGAACGUCAGUUGGCCAUCUUUACACAUAAUUUGUGGGACUCUGUAAUAUCUUGACUGGAUAUCUUGAGCCAUUAUUCUAAUUUUUCUUUUGUAUUGGAUUUUUAAAUGAGCCGACAAUGUUUUUCUCAAGACCAUUUAAUAAGUAUAGUAGUAUUAAAACUCUUAUCCUAAAGCUUCUACUUUAAUUAACAAAAGAACAUAGACUAUUCCGAAAGAGGUGUUCUCUUUGGUUUUUAGUCCAUGUGCAUACUCUAAACGUUCCAAGGGAAAUUUCGCUUUAAAUUUACAUCAUCUUUUACUCUUGAUACAAGCAGAAAACAAAUCGUUUGAUCUUAUCUUAUAAGGUAACUUUUAUAAAAGACAGAAACAAAAAGAUUAUUUGCAUUCGUCUUUUUCUUUGGAUGUCAUUGUUUGCCAAUUAUCCACUCAGAAUACAAGAAUGUUAAUUUUAUUUAUUAUGCAACUUUAUUCUUCGAAUAUUCAAGGAGUCGGUUGGCUUCAAAAGGAUUAACAAAAGGAUUAAGAACAUAUCACAUGACUUCACAUGGGAAGUGAUAUGCCUUUCUGAUUUUUUUUUUUUUUUUUUUUUUUUUUUUUNUUUUUUUUUUUUUUUUUUUUUUUUUUUUUUUUUUUUUUUUUUUUGCAAGAAAUUUAAUUGUAGUAUUUGGUUUUGAUUUUUUUCAUUCCGAUUUAAUUUUCGGUUAUAUGUGCAUUUUAUGUAUAAAUAUAUCUCACCUACACUUGCACAGUUGACACCAAAGUUUACUUUGGAUGCCUUAGUCUUCCUCCUCGGACUAUUGUUGUCUUCAAUAUUGUAUCACAUUAAUAUCCAAGUGGUAACGCCGAGUUCCAGAUGGUUAAUCUCCCAACCAUCUCCCAAAAAACAAAUAGAAGAAACAAGAAGGACGAGAGCAAUUUUCUUAUGAUAUUUCCAAAUGCAGCCACAUGAAUUAAAUAUAGUAGUUAGGUUCUAAAAUUAAGCAAAAAUGAAGGAAAACAUGGAAGGACUUAUUCAACUCUGAUAAAAUUGUGCUGGACUCUUUCUUUUUCAUGUUCCAUUCUGGUGCAAAGUUAUUCGUGGCACUUAAUUCUCAAGCGUGCCCUGCUAGUAAAAAGGGAUUGCUCCAUUUGAAAAUGGAUUUGGGCCUGACGGUCAACCUGUGUUGUAUAAAUGUCAUCUCCCUUACCAUUGACCUCCUCCUUGAGAUCAAAGACUAGAAAACGGAGUUGAAUUUCAUGUUUUCACUCCCAAGAGGCUUCUGAGUGAGGCUUGUUACUCAUUUAUUGAGGACAUGGUGAUCAUGUUGUGUGUGUUCUUUGUUUAGAUGGAGUCGGUAUUUAUAGUCAUCAUCUUCUAUGAUUGGAAAAUUGGUUGUCUAUAUUGUAUUUGAAUUGGAACUCAAUAUUUGAAUGUGAAAACGGGGUAGAUUGGUGCUUGAGCAGGUAACUCGGAAAGGUAUGAAACUUGACCAAAAUUCUCCAAGAUUUGAUAUGGCUCUAAAAACAUUUUGCAAGUUUCUAGUUAACACGGAUUUCCAUAGAAGAUUUGUAGUAGUUUCGUAGCUUUAAAUAAACAAAAAUCGCCCAUAAUGAAGUUCUUAUCUAGAUGGUGUUUGUUGGCUCGAGUGGUCAUUUUUUCUUGGACCUAGAUAAAGCCUCUUUGGUCAGCACGAUCACCUGUUGAUGUGCGAUGAAUGUAUCGCCGAUAUAAACAAGAAUAGUGUUGUCGGGUUUGUAUUCAUGAAUAGUGGUGGCGUCCUUGCCAUAGUGGGUCUUGAAGGGUGACAUGUUGAUUGUGGAAUGGUGGCUCUAGUGUAAUAUAAUUUGGCAAGGUAUAGGCAACCAUUCCUCGAGCAACGUCGUCACCGACAAAGGCAAUCAAUAAGCUUCCAAGAACUAAGAGCUGGUUGCCAACCUCAUUUUGACCAUCAGUUUGGAUAUUGCACACUACUAGAAAACAGCGCUUUAAUGGUGCACAAACAAUGAUAAACGCUGAUAGAGGACGCGCAUUUGUGUGUGCCCUAAAAAAUAAUGCCAGUUUUGCAAAAUUUGAAGGAUAGAGGAUACACAUUUUUGUGCGUCCUGAAAUUAGUGUCCAACAAAAAAAUUAAAAACACUGAGGACACCUAUUCUAAAAUGCGUGUCGUGUUACCCUGUCGCUUUAUAAUUUUAGUCUACGAGCGCGCGUUUUCUUUUUUUAAUAGCCAGUGGGAAAUGAAAUCAAAAAAAUUAAAAACCCCGCAUGUUGUCCUUCCACAGGAACGCUCACCUCACCUCAUUCCAUAGAAACGCUCACCUCAUCAGACUCACCUCUCUCUCUCUCUCUCUCUCUCUCUCUCUCUCUCCCUCUCCUCUAUGGUGCAUACCACCACUAUCUUGUACCAUAACCAUGGUCGUCGCACCUACAUCUCACCACCUGCAACCUCAACAUAAUCGACCAUCACCGCCAUUCCUACCAUCCAUCGCCACCCUACCAUAUUCUCCAUCACCACCUCUUUCUUGUUCCAUGUGAAACCUUAAAAUCGGUGACAACAACUAAUAGGGUUUGGUGAAAAAGUUGAACUAAUAGGGUUUCUGAAUUUCGAGUAUUAUGCACACAAAUGUCAGAAGAAAUAUGGUCAACCAACUCACAUAUGGUCCGAUUCCGAUUCUUAAAGCCCUCAACUCUGAUUUACAUGUGAUCAAGGCUGGAAAGUUUCAUCUAUUGGUUUUGCUAGCUUUGGGAAUCCCAAAGGGGAUUGUGGUGCUGGAUUUAGUCAAGGAAUUUGUCAUAUCGACGUCAUAACAAUUGCCUCCGUCUCAAGUUGUUGCUCAUAUGUCUACUUCUACACUCAACACUUACAUAUAUUUCAAGUCAUCAUCAUCUUCCUCAAUGCAAGGUAUUUUUCCCAAACCACUAGUUUCUAAACAUAUUUUUUGAAUGGAUUCAUCUCCCUCGCCGUCCCUUGGUCGUGUAUCCCAUGCUCAUGAGUAAUGAUUUGUUCAUGUUUAACAUGUCACAUGUGACUAUUAUGACUUACGAGUACGUAUGCUGUGGUUUAUUUCGGUUAUUGGACAAACCAACCUAUAAUAAUUACAAUUGGUUAAUGCAUUUCAAUUAAAAGUUUUUGUUAUUGGGUAACAUGGUUGACCAUAAUGAUUGACAAAUUCCACAAAAAAUAAAAAGUACAUUUCUAUAAAAAUGAAAAAACAAAAAGUAGAUUGUCAAAAAAUUAAAAUGAAAAUUAAAAAGUACUAUGUAGUCAAAUAUAUACUAAAUGGAUAUUAAAUAUUAUCUUACUGAUUUUUAAAUAAAUAACUAUGUUAUAAUAUUUUUUAUUAGUUACAUAAUCUUAUCCACCAAUCAAAAUUUUUUAUGUAUGAAGAACAGAACGUACACUUUUAUCUUAAAUAGCUAAUUUAAUGGAAUUUUAAAUUUCGUUAUUUGACAUUAUUUGUUUAAUAUUUAUCUUUAAAUUACAAUUAAUAUACAAUUAAAUAUAAGAUUUCAGUUCGGUUUAUAAUGUUUCAAUUUCCGUAUAAAACCAUAACCGAUAUAACAUAAAGAAAAAAAAAACAAAGAACAAAACCCAACAGUUGGUUUUAAAAACGGUUUAGUUUUUAUGGUUCGGUUGCAUUGGUUAAUUUAGUUCUAGUUAGGUCUUUCUUUUCGGUUAUUAUGCUCAAGCUAGCGGCUAUGAUAGAAAAAUUACCCCUCCAUGAGUAGACUUCAAGAAGCAAUUAGCAAAAAGCUGUGAACAUAGAGGAAUUUAUGGUUCGUCUCUGUACUGAAAAAGACGAAAAGAAAAAAAUAUCUAAAUAGUAGCUACCCGUCUACUUUGGCAAAGGAAACCUUUUUUUAUUAUUGUAAAUAUUGUUUGCAUAAAUCAACCCACGUUUUUAAUAAAAUAAUUUGUUCUGUUGAAAUACAUUUGUAAAUUUGGUGAUUGAGAUGUCGUGUUCUUCCCAUGCAAUAGCAGUCGAUUAUAUACAAAUUUGAAAAGUAAAUAGCAAAUCACUAAAUGCAUAUACACUCUCCAUGGGCUAAAUCUAUUUUAAAUUCAUGGUUUGCAGAUCCGCCAGAGAUAAUAUAAUUUCAUUCGACUUUAUUAAAUUGACCUCGCAUGAAUUACUAAAACAUUCUAACUCUGUACAUGAUGAUGCUACUUUAAUUAAUCGAUUUUACAAGCAAUAUUAUCCUAAAACAUAGAUCAUCGAGAUCCAUAUGAGUAAUAUUCAUCAUCGUGAGUUCCUUCAUCAAAAUUCAGUGAGUAACUAACAGCAUCAUACUGGAAUAUCAAAGUCUUUGAAGAUCCGUAUAUGUUUUUUUUGCUUCCUUCAAUCACCUUCUUCAUGAGCUUCCUCCAAUUACGACUCCAGCGUACACUGCCACUGUUAAUUUGUGUGCAAUCUUCUUGAUCGGAGUGUGAAGAAGUCGACGUACAGUCAGAAACGUUAGAUAAUCGUCCUUCAAUGUACGCGCUGCAGGUAAGGUUAAUUGUGGUGGCCAUCUUUUUUGGAGAGAGAAGAGUUCUUGUUUGUUGUGAAUUGUGAAUUGUGAAUUCAUGAAUGGAAGUUUAAUUAGUGGAAGACGAGACUUUAUAGUUGGUGUAGACUGAGAUUGUGUAGUGUAGCUUUAAAUCUGAGGUGGGACUCUGUAAUAUUUUGACUUGAUAUCUUCAACCAUUAUUCUAAUUUUUCUUUUGUAAUGGAUUUUUAAAUAUGCCGACACCCGACAAUAUUUUUUUCAAGACCAUUUAAUAAGUAUCGUUGUAUUAAAACUGUUAUCCUAAAGCUUCUACUAUAAUUAACAAAAGAACAUAGAGUGACCUGAAAGAUGUGUUCUCUUCGGUUUUUAGUCCGUGUGCAUACUCUAUAUGUUCCAAGGGAAAUUUCGCUUUAAAUUUACAUCAUCUUUUACUCUUGACACAAGCAGAAAACAAAUCGUUUGAUCUUUUCUUAGAACGUAACUUUUAUAAAAGACAGAAACAAAAAGAUCAUUUGCCUUCGUCUUUUUCUUUUGAUGUCAUUGUUUGCCAAUUAUCCACUCAGAAUACAAGAGUGUUGAUUUUAUUUAUGUAUGCAACUUUAUUCUUUAACUUUUGAUGUCAUUGUUUGCCAAUUAUCCACUCAGAAUACAAAAGUGUUGAUUUUAUUUAUGUAUGCAACUUUAUUCUUCGAAUAUCCAAGGAAUCAGUUGGCUUCAAAAAGAUUAAGAGCAUAUCCCAUGAUUUCACAUGGGGAAGUGGUAUGCCUUUCUGAUUUUUUUGGUUUUGGUUUUGAUUUUUUUUUAAUUUUAUUUUAUUAUUAUAUUUUUUUGCAAUAAAUGUAAGUGGAGUUUUUGGUUUUGAUUAUUUUUUCAUACCGAUUUAAUUUUCGGUUGUAUGUGUAUUGAUUAUUUUUUUCGUACUGAUUUAAUUUUCGAUUGUAUGUGUAUUUUAUAUAUAAAUAUAUCUCACGUACACAUGCACGAUUGACACUAAAAUUUACUUUGGAUGCCUUUGUCUUCCUCCUCGCACUAUUGUUGCCUUCAAUAUUCUAUCACAUUAAUAUCCACGUGGUAACACCAUGUUCCACUUGGUUAAUCUCCUAAAAAAACAAAUAGAAGAAACAAGAAGGAUUGGAGCAAUUUUCUUAUAAUAGUUCCACCUGCAACCACAUGAAUUAAAUUAUGCAGUUAGGUUCUAAAAUUAAGCAAAAUUGUAGGGAAACAUGGAUGGACUUAUUCAACUCUUAUAAAAUUGUGCUUGACUCUUUCUUUUUCUUGUGCCGUUCUCGUGCAUAGUUAUUCCCUAUAACAGUAUGGCACUUAAUUCUCAAGUGUGCCCUAUUAGUAAAAACGGGUUGGUCCAUUUGAAAAUGGAUUUGGGCCUGAAGGUCAACAUGUGUUGUAUAAAUGUCAUCUCCCUUACAAUUGACCUCUUCCUUGAGGUCAAAGUCUAGAAAACGGAAUUCAAUUUCAUGUUUUCACUCCUAAGCGGCUUCUGAGAGAGGCUUGUUACUCAUUUAUUGAGGACGUCAUGAUCAUGUUGUGUAUGUUCUUUUUUUAGAUGGAGUUGGUAUUUAUAGUCAUCAUCUUCCAUGAUUGGAAAAUUGGUUGUCUAUAUUGUACUUGAAUUGGAACCCAAUAUUUGAAUGUGAAAACGGGGGAGAUUGGUGCUUGAGGAGCUAACUCGGAACGGUAUGAAACCUGAUCAAAUUUCUCCAAGAUUUUAAAUUGCUCUAAAAACGUUUUGCAUGUUUAUAGUUAACACGGCUUUCCAUAGAAGAUUUGUAGUAGUUACGCAGCUUUAAAUAAACAAAAAUCGCCCAUAUUGAAGCUCUUAUCUAGAUGGUGUUUGUUGGCUUGAGUGGUAAUUUUUUCUUGGACCUAGAUAAAGCCUCUUUGGUCAGCACGAUCACCUGUUGAUGUGUGAUGAAGGUGUCGUCAACAGAAGCAAAAAUAGAGUUAUCGGGUUCGCAUUCAUCAAUGGCAGUGGCGUCCUUGCCAUAGUAGGCCUUGAAGGUUGACAUGUUGAUUGUGGAAUGGUGGCUAUAGUGUAACAUAAUUCGUCACUAACAAAGGUAUAUCAAUAAGUUUCCAAGAACUAAGAACCGGUUGCCAACCUCAUUUUGACCAUCGGUUUGGAUAUCGUAGUCACUUGAAUGUAAUACAUGGGUUCCCAAUGGUUUAAAAAUUAGUUAGAAAAUAAUGGAUCAUGAUAUAAAAUGAAAGAAUUUGGAACCACAUGCAGUCCAUAAGCUUUUAUGAAAAAAGGAAGCACUGAAUUGAGUUGGAAAUGGUAGGAAAUGGGCGAGUUAGUAAGUCGAUCGAUAAUGACCGAUAUGGUGAUGUUUCCGUUUGACAAGGGAAGCAGGACCGAUCCAAACAUAUAUUGGGUCCGGGGCAAAAUGAAAAAAAGGGUCCCUUAAAGUCAUAAAUUUAGUAAAGAUUAAUUCAAAAAUAGACAUAUUGUUACAAAAUUCACUAGUUAUAUUACAAACAUAAAUAUGGCAGAAACAUUACAAAAACAAUUAUUUAAAAAAAAAAAAGAUACUUCUCCUGUAUUUUUUAGAUGCAAUAUCAUUGAUAAUAUUAUCAUAAUCAAUUUUAUCUAUCAUAUCUUUCCUUUUAUAUAUAUUAUACAUCCCAGGAAUUUUGGCCCCCUAGAAACAUGGCUCUUGGGAGACCGCCCGAGUUGCCCACCAUCUGGACCGGGCUUGGGGAAAGUGUGUUAUAAAAUAUAUGAAAAUAUCUACUAUGGAUUUAUGGUGUUAGUAAUGGUAUAAGAAGGCCACAUGGUUUUUGUAAAGAGCUUUAGUGUGUUUUAGUAAUGGUAUGAGUAGGCUACAUUGUUUUUCAAAUGUAGCUAAAAAAUGAGAUGAUAAAAGUGAAUAUCCUAUAAAAGUGACAAAUGAAUUUUAGGAACAUUAGGGAUAAAGAGUUGUCCCUGAUUCUACACCAAGCUGCGCAAAAACCGAAAUUACUUUCUUGCUCCCCGAUGUUGUUGAUAAUCUUCCGACUCUCUAGACCAUCGCCUAAAUGCUUACGAAUAUCAUUUAGCCAAGUAGCAGUAUGAUUUGAAAUGGCGAACAUCAGGUCAUGAUCAAUAUGUCUUAUUGCAUCGACAACUUUAUUCUCUUUUCCCGGUUUAUGGUGAAGCUCAAAAUUAUACAACAAAAGUUUCGUGUUUAAUUUUGUUCAUCGAUGUUUGAAUGACCUUCAUGAGUAGGUGUGUAACAUUGUGGUGAUCGGUAAAAAUGCUGGACUUCCGAAGAAGUAGACAUUGUAUCCAUUUUCUUAAUGCUUCGUUAAAUGUGUAUAGCUCACGAACUUAGGUGGAUUAGGCUUGCAUGAGACGGCACAUUUCUUUGCUAAAAUAAGAAAUGGGUCGGUGUCGUAGCAUAGUACCAUACAAUAGUGUAUCCGGAUGAAUCCAUAGGGACAUCAAACAAAACGGAGACGUAUGAUGGUGCAAAGACAAGGAUGGAGACCAUGGCUACCUUGUGGUUAUGGGAGUAGAUGGAUCUUAUGUACAAAACAAAGGAAAUCAGGAACAUAAAAUUUAAGGUUUCAAAAAGUACCUAAAGAAUAAACACACAUACCAUGAUGAGUCAACUAUUCUCAUGAUUGUUCUCCAUGAUAUCCGUUUAGGGAAUUACCUUAAGUGAGAUAUGUCACAUGUGAAUAUUAUGGGUACGUAUGUUGUGGUUUAGUUCGGUUAUCGGACAAAACAACCCCGAAUAAUUACAAUCGGUUAAUGCAUUUCAAUUAAAGGUUUUUGUUAUUGGGUAUCAUCGGUUGACCAUAAUCAUUGACAAAUUCCACAAAAAAUAAAAAGUACAUUUCUAUAAAAAUGAAAAAACAAAAAGUAGAUUGUCCAAAAAUUACAAUUAGACAAAAUUGCAAGAAUGGUCCCUGUGGUAUGUCAAAACUAGCACCUUUGGUCCAAAAUGGGUUUGGCUUGCAAGGAUGGUCCAAUAGUUCCGUUUUGUUGCGAGUUUGGUCCAAUUUCCUAUGGACUUUUUUAUAAUGACGGAUUUGCUCUUAUAUUUUAAUUUUCCAUUUUAUUUUAUUAUCAAUAAUUAAAAAGCAAUUAAAAAUAAAACAAAAAUAAAAUACUCUCUCUCCCUCUCUCUCUUCCUCUUUCUCUCUUUCUCUCUCUAUCUCUCUCUCUCUACAAACAGAAUUAAUACAGAUCUGGUAGUGGAUUUGUAAAAUGCAGAACCCUAACUUUUAUCAAUUUUUUUCAAGUCAUUGUAUAAAGUCGAAUAGACUAAACACAUACACACUCAUAUAUGCAUAUGAAUAUCAAGAACACUCGGUUUUUCCUGAGUUCAAGAACAAGAACAUCAUAUUCACAAACUAAGAAAUCGAUUUCUGAUGAACUGCCAUCACCACCAUCGGAAUCAAUUUCUUCUAUGAAUUGCCCAACUCAAACCCAUAAGCACACAAACAACUCAAUAAACAUAAAGAUGAAGGUAAACUGCACCCCUUUUAUCCCCCUCCCUGAAUCACAGACACCGUAUACCCUAAAUCAGUACAGGUUAAAGAGAUUACGAUUUACAGAUGAAAGGGGUUACAAUUUACAACCUAUAAAUUUUUGUGUCCUUUCCAAUUAUUGAAUCAAAUGCCAAUCAUGUCCCUCUCUCUCUUGUUCUUCUCUGAAUCGGUGUUUGAAUCAAAUACCAAUCAUAUCCCUCUCUCUUUGUUCUUCUCGUCACUGCUACAUCCCAUCACCAUGCUCGUCGCAUUCAGAUAUGUUCAUUCUAUAGCUAGAGGAUCCGGCGGUGGUGUGGAGAUGUAACCCAGAUCGAUGACCCCCUUAAUCGAUGACAACUACCUCGUCGGAGGCAUAACAGCCGAGGAAAAUUGAUCCGAGGUGUCUUCCCCUCGAUUUCCUGUCGCGAAACCCUUCAUCUGAAAACCCUAGCCGCCAAGAAACCCUAAUCGUCAAGAAACCCAAACUUCAGAUCUCGAUCUCCUUUCUCUCGUUGGCAUCUGUCUAGGUUCAAAGGGAGGGUAGCAACGAUCGAAUCAGGUGUUUGGGGGUGGUGCUACCUGACCGGAGGGAGGGGGAGGGGCAGCCUAGGCCGGUGACAACCACUCGUUCUUCUUCUUUGGACAGUAAUAAGCAAGAAACGAGAGAGAGAGAGAGAGAGAGAGAGAGAGAGAGAGAGGGUCUUUUAUUUUAUUUUGUUUUAUUUUUAAUUAUUUUUAAUUUUUUGUAAUAAANUUAUUUUGUUUUAUUUUUAAUUAUUUUUAAUUUUUGGUAAUAAAACAAAAAUGAAAAAUUAAAUAAUAAGGGCAAAAUCGUCUUUCCAAAAGAAUUCAAACCAAAUUGGACCAAACUUGCAAGAAAAUGAAACUUUUGGACCAUUGAUGCUAGCCAAAACCGUUUUGGCCCGAACAUGCUAGUUUUGACAUACCACAGGGACCAUUUUUGCAAUUUUGUCUUACAAUUAAAAUCAAAAAGUACUAUGUUGUUAACUUAGUUGUAUUCUUCCUGCUAUUAAUUUAGACACCUCAAAACCACCAUACAAUUCCACCCAACUUCUUAAAAUAUUUUGUAGCCGUCGACAAAGUUAGUCAAAUAUAUGCUCAAUAGAUAUUAAAUAUUAACAUAUUUGUUUUAAAUAAAUAAAUAUAUUAUAAUAAUUUAUAUUAGAUACUUAAUCUUGUCCACCAACCAAAACUUUGUAUGUAUGAAGAACAUAACGUACACUUUUUUCUUAAAUAGAUAAUAUAAUGGAAUUUUUAAUUUCGUUAUUUGACACUAUUUAUUUACUAUUUAUACUUAAAUUACAAUUUAUAUACGAUUAAAUAUAAGAUUUCGGUUCGGUUUAUAAUGUCUCAAUUUCCAUAUAAAACCAUAGCCGAGAAAAGAAAACAAAAAAAAAUAAAAAAUAAAAAAUAAAAAAAUAAAAAAAAAAAACCGGAACAGUUGGUUUUAAAAACGGUUUGGUUUUUAUGGUUCGACUGUAUCAGUUAAUUUAGUUCUAAUUCGGUCUUUCUUUUCGUUUAUUAUGCUCACCCUACCGGCUAUGAUUGAAAAAUCAUCCCUCCAUGAGUAUAUUUCAAGAAGUAAUUAGCAAAAAGCUAUGAACAUAGAGGAAUUUGUGGUUCGUCUGUAUAUUGAAAAACACGAAAAGAAAAAAGAUCUAAAUAGUAGCUACUGGUCUGCUUUGGCAAAGGAAACCUUUUUUUUAUUACUAUAAAUAUUGUAUGCAUAAAUCAACCCAAGUUUUUAAUAAAAUAAUUUCUUCUGUUCAAACAAUUUUGUAAAUUUGGUGAUUGAAAUGUCGUGUUCUUCCGAUAAAAUAGCAGUCGACUAUAUACAAAUUUGCAGAGUAAAUAAGCAAAUCACUAAAUGCAUAUACACUCUCCAUGGGCUAAAUCUAUUUUAAAUUCAUCCUUUGAAGAUCUGCCAAAGAUAAUAUAAAUUCAUUCGCCUUUAUAAAAUUGACCUCACAAGAAUUACUAACACAUUCUAACUCUGUACAUGAUGAUGCUACUUUAAUUAAUCGAACUUACAAGCAAUAUUAUCCUAAAACAUACAUCAUCGAGAUCCAUAUGAAUAAUAUUCAUCAUCGUGAGUUCCCUCAUCAAAAUUCAGUGAGUAACUAACAGCAUCAUACUGGAAUAUCAAAGGCUUUGAAGAUCCGUAUAUGCUUUUUUUGCUUCCUUCAAUCACCUUCUUCAUGAGCUUCCUCCAAUUAUGACUCCGGCGUACACUGCCACUGUUAAUUUGUGUGCAGUCUUCCUGAUCGGAGAGUGAAGAAGUCGACGUACAGUCAGAAACGUUAGAUAAUCGUCCUUCAAUGGAAGCGCUGCAGGUAAGGUUAAUUGUGGUGGCCAUCUUUUUUGGAGAGAGAAGAGUUCUUGUUUGUUGUGAAUUG
This 11696-nucleotide long non-coding RNA is filed under the name Lactuca sativa (garden lettuce). RNAcentral describes it as "long non-coding RNA (LSAT_LNC004507)". The record is from RNAcentral. Lineage: Eukaryota; Viridiplantae; Streptophyta; Magnoliopsida; Asterales; Asteraceae.